GCAGUCGUGGCCGAGUGGUUAAGGCGUCUGACUAGAAUAUGAUCCGCCAUCUAGCUAUCAGAUUCCCUCUGGGAGCGUAGGUUCGAGUCCUACCGACUGCG
This 101-nucleotide transfer RNA is filed under the name Cotesia glomerata. Its description in RNAcentral is "tRNA-Ser". It matches the Rfam family "tRNA". From Rfam's summary of the family: Transfer RNA (tRNA) molecules are approximately 80 nucleotides in length. Lineage: Eukaryota; Metazoa; Arthropoda; Insecta; Hymenoptera; Braconidae. The record is from RNAcentral.